CGCCAGACUCCUACGGGAGGCAGCAGUGAGGAAUAUUGGUCAAUGGUCGGGAGACUGAACCAGCCAAGCCGCGUGAGGGAGGAAGGUACAGAGUAUCGUAAACCUCUUUUGUCAGGGAACAAAGACUGGGACGCGUCCCCGGAUGAGUGUACCUGAAGAAAAAGCAUCGGCUAACUCCGUGCCAGCAGCCGCGGUAAUACGGAGGAUGCGAGCGUUAUCCGGAUUUAUUGGGUUUAAAGGGUGCGUAGGCGGACUGUUAGGUCAGGGGAAAAAGCCCGGGGCACAACCCGGGCGAGCCGUUGAAACUGGCAGUCUCGAGUUGGAGAGAAGUAUGCGGAAUGCGCGGUGUAGCGGUGAAAUGCAUAGAUAUCGCGCAGAACUCCGAUUGCGAAGGCAGCAUGCCGGCUCCACACUGACGCUGAGGCACGAAAGCGUGGGUAUCGAACAGGAUUAGAUACCCGUGUA
This 465-nucleotide ribosomal RNA is filed under the name uncultured bacterium. Its description in RNAcentral is "bacterial SSU rRNA". It matches the Rfam family "Bacterial small subunit ribosomal RNA", at positions 329 to 792 of the family's 1533-position model. The record is from RNAcentral.